UACGUAGGGCGCAAGCGUUGUCCGGAAUUAUUGGGCGUAAAGAGCUCGUAGGCGGCUUGUCACGUCGGGUGUGAAAGCCCGGAGCUCAACUCCGGAAGUGCAUUCGAUACUGCGUAGCUAGAGUACUGGAGAGGAUGGUGGAACUCUCGGUGUAGAGGUGAAAUUCGUAGAUAUCGAGAAGAACACCGGUGGCGAAGGCGGCCAUCUGGACAGAUACUGACGCUGAGACGCGAAAGCGUGGGGAGCAAACAGG
Molecule: ribosomal RNA, 253 nt
Filed under: uncultured bacterium
Lineage: Bacteria
Description: partial 16S ribosomal RNA
Rfam family: Bacterial small subunit ribosomal RNA
Source: RNAcentral